UCCGGGUGUGGUGGCGCGUGCCUGUAGUCCCAGCUACUUGGGAGGCUGAGGCAGGGGAAUCGCUUGAACCCGGGAGGCGGAGGUUGCAGUGAGCCGAGAUUGCCUCACUGCACCCUAGCCUGGGUGACAGAGCGAGACUCCGCCUCAA
This 148-nucleotide non-coding RNA is filed under the name Chlorocebus sabaeus (green monkey). Lineage: Eukaryota; Metazoa; Chordata; Mammalia; Primates; Cercopithecidae. The record is from Rfam by way of RNAcentral.